CAGUCGCCGCGGUAAUACGUAGGGUGCAAGCGUUAAUCGGAAUUACUGGGCGUAAAGCGUGCGCAGGCGGUCCGCUAAGACAGAUGUGAAAUCCCCGGGCUUAACCUGGGAACUGCAUUUGUGACUGGCGGGCUAGAGUAUGGCAGAGGGGGGUAGAAUUCCACGUGUAGCAGUGAAAUGCGUAGAGAUGUGGAGGAAUACCGAUGGCGAAGGCAGCCCCCUGGGCCAAUACUGACGCUCAUGCACGAAAGCGUGGGGAGCAAACAGGAUUAGAUACCCCUGUAGUCCCUGUCUCUUAUAA
This 301-nucleotide ribosomal RNA is filed under the name uncultured bacterium. RNAcentral describes it as "partial 16S ribosomal RNA". It matches the Rfam family "Bacterial small subunit ribosomal RNA", at positions 509 to 809 of the family's 1533-position model. The record is from RNAcentral.